AUGUGUAAUAAAGUAGACCAUCCAAUUGGGGUAAAUUCUAGUGGUAAUAUGUGUUGUUUAGCGAUGGCGGUGCAUACUGUAUCUGAUAACUUUUCAUGUUGGCAUAGCAUUUUGGUCAGGGAGCUUUUAAAAAUCAAGUGCUUAUACCUCCUAAAAACAUGGAGGGUUCGGAUAGGCAAGGGCCCUGCAGUGAGGGAUCUGAAUCCAAACAGGAAAACUGCACUAGAAUUGUCUGUUAGGGCAUAUGCAGAGAAGCACAAUGGAACGGUUGUGAAGCCAACAAUUGGCACCUCGUUUGACUCGAUUGAUGAGGCAUAUGAGUUCUACAAUCUUUAUUCUUGGGAGUGCGGUUUUGGUGUCCAUCUUUCAAGCAGCAGACUGAAUGUUGACAGGAACAAAGCCAUGCAAGAAAUUGUAUGUGCAUGUGCGGGCAAACCACAAAAGGAGAACACCCGUUCAACGAGAUGUGGUUGCACAGCUAUGAUUAGGCUGCUUAGGUCCAGUGAUAAUGGUUGGUACAUAUCAGAACAUAAAGAAGCUCAUAACCAUCCAUUGUCUUUGACUUGCGGGGAGAAAAUGCAUUGGAAGUCACAUAUGCAUAUUGAUCGGUAUGCGAAGGAUCUGGUGAAGCAACUACGGGACAACAAUGUAGGGCUUGGCAAGGUGUCCAGCAUCGUUGGUAGUUUCUUUGGAUCGGUGGAGAAUGUCCCGUUCACAAAACGCUCUUUGAAGAUUCUAUGCCGGAAGCUUAACAAGGAGCAAUCUGAUUUUGAUGCGAUGAAGACAAUGGACAUUUUGUCAGAGAUGAAAGCAAAUGACCCUGGUUUCAAUUAUACAGUGCAGGUGGAUGAGGAGAGUCGGAUUAAAACUUUGAUGUGGGUGACUAGCAGGGGUUGUGAUCAGUACAUGUGUUUUGGAGAUGUUACCAUGUUUGACACGACAUACCGAACGAACCUGUAUGACAUGCCGUUUGGGUUGUUUGUCGGGGUAAAUAACCACUUCCAUAGUAUAAUAUUCGGAGGUGUCAUGGUUAGAGAUGAAAAAGAGGAAACAUUUAAAUGGGUUUUCAGGGAAUUCAUUCGCAUGGUGGGAGGGAAGCACCCCAAAACGAUUCUGACAGAUCAAGCAAGAUCAAUGGAAAUUGCUAUCGAAGCUGAGCUACCGAACACAUUGCACCGAUGGUGUAAAUGGCAUGUCUUGCGGAAGGCUAAAGAGUCGAUGAGGACACUUUGGAGCAAGAAAAAGCGAUUUCAAAUUAGAGUUCCAUAA
Molecule: ribosomal RNA, 1269 nt
Filed under: Triticum aestivum (bread wheat)
Lineage: Eukaryota; Viridiplantae; Streptophyta; Magnoliopsida; Poales; Poaceae
Description: partial small subunit ribosomal RNA
Source: RNAcentral